GUCCUUUAGGUUGAUAAUAUAAGGUCUAAUCUGCCCACUGAUUAAUUAAAUGGCCGCAGUAAUUUGACUGUGCAAAGGUAGCAUAAUCAUUAGUUUUUUAAUUAAAAGCUUGUAUGAAUGAUUGGACGAGAUAAAAUCUGUCUCUUAAUUAUGGUUAGAAUUUAAUUUUUAAGUUAAAAAGCUUAAAUUUUUAUGAAAGACGAGAAGACCCUAUAGAUCUUAAUUUAUAAAUUUUAUAAUUUUUAUAAAGAUUAUUUUAUUAUUUAUAAUUUUAUAAAUUUUAUUGGGGUAAUAAAAAGAUUUAAAAAAUUCUUUUAUAAUUUUACAAUUAUUAUUGAUUAUUUGAUCCAUUAUUAAUGAUUAAAAGAUUAAGUUACCUUAGGGAUAACAGCGUAAUUUUUUUAAAGAGUUCAUAUCGAUAAAAAAGAUUGCGACCUCGAUGUUGGAUUAAAAGUAAUUUUAGGUGCAGAAGUCUAAAGUUUUGGUCUGUUCGACCAUUAAAUUUUU
RNAcentral lists this ribosomal RNA (507 nucleotides) under Hyphydrus aubei. Its description in RNAcentral is "partial 16S ribosomal RNA". The stretch from base 384 to 507 matches the Rfam family "Bacterial large subunit ribosomal RNA", at positions 2473 to 2597 of the family's 2925-position model. Lineage: Eukaryota; Metazoa; Arthropoda; Insecta; Coleoptera; Dytiscidae. The record is from RNAcentral.